Molecule: transfer RNA, 87 nt
Filed under: Candidatus Xenolissoclinum pacificiensis L6
Lineage: Bacteria; Pseudomonadati; Pseudomonadota; Alphaproteobacteria; Rickettsiales; Anaplasmataceae
Rfam family: tRNA
About the family: Transfer RNA (tRNA) molecules are approximately 80 nucleotides in length.
Source: Rfam by way of RNAcentral
GGACAGAUGACCGAGCGGUUUAAGGUACCAGUCUUGAAAACUGGCGUGCGUGCGAGCGUACCGUGGGUUCGAAUCCCACUCUGUCCG